Molecule: ribosomal RNA, 460 nt
Filed under: uncultured bacterium
Lineage: Bacteria
Description: partial 16S ribosomal RNA
Rfam family: Bacterial small subunit ribosomal RNA
Source: RNAcentral
CCUACGGGAGGCAGCAGUGAGGAAUAUUGGUCAAUGGACGAGAGUCUGAACCAGCCAAGUAGCGUGAAGGAUGACUGCCCUCUGGGUUGUAAACUUCUUUUAUAUGGGAAUAAAAUGUUCCACGUGUGGGAUUUUGUAUGUACCAUAUGAAUAAGGAUCGGCUAACUCCGUGCCAGCAGCCGCGGUAAUACGGAGGAUCCGAGCGUUAUCCGGAUUUAUUGGGGUUAAAGGGAGCGUAGGUGGAUUGUUAAGUCAGUUGUGAAAGUUUGCGGCUCAACCGUAAAAUUGCAGUUGAAACUGGCAGUCUUGAGUACAGUAGAGGUGGGCGGAAUUCGGGGUGUAGCGGUGAAAUGCUUAGAUAUCACGAAGAACUCCGAUUGCGAAGGCAGUUCACUGGACUGCAACUGACACUGAGGCUCGAAAGUGUGGGUAUCAAACAGGAUUAGAUACCCGUGUAGUC